RNAcentral lists this long non-coding RNA (801 nucleotides) under Mus caroli (Ryukyu mouse). RNAcentral describes it as "lncRNA (MGP_CAROLIEiJ_G0002884.1)". The record is from RNAcentral. Lineage: Eukaryota; Metazoa; Chordata; Mammalia; Rodentia; Muridae.
CUUUCCAUGGAGGUUAGAGAGGACGUCCGCAAGCUCCGGUUGAAAGACAAGCAUGCAGGCCUAAAGGGAGGAGACAGUGGAUCAGAGGUUCUCGCAGCUUACAUGAGAAAAUACUCUCAAUGCCAAAAGCUUCUAGGACCUGUGAGAGGCUCAGCAGGGUGCUACAGUGCCAGGGAUGAAGAAGAUGGCCACAGGACUUUGGAUGCUGAGUUCUGUGAUGUAGGUGAUUUUGAUGAGAACUUUAGCCCGAGGGGACCCCGUUGACUGACCUGAGGACUGGGCCAUGACCAGAGCAUGGGAAAAAGACAUUUUACAGCGGAAGACUGUCUACUCCCAUUGUGUGUGUUCUCUUAUCAGUCUGGCAGCUGAGUGCCUGGUGGCAGUACCAGCUCUUCUGCUUCACACAACAGCGACUUCAUUUCCUCCUUUAGACAACGCACAUGGGUAUGGCUGGCUUGGCCUCCUGUACUCCUAAGGGGGUUUUCAUUCGUGUGUUUGAGACAAAGUCUUGCUAGGAAGGUCUGACAGCAUAGAGCUCACUGUGUAGAACAACAGGUGGGCCUCUUGCAGCAAUUCUCCUGCCUCUACCUCUCAAGGGCUGAGAUUAUGGUGUAUGCCGCCAUGUGUGACAUUUAAGAGAAAUCUCAUAAGCCCAGGGUACUGUAAAUAAUCUUGGCUUCUAUUAUGGAUUCAUAUUGCAAAUCAUUUCCCAUAAUGCACGGGCUACAGGAUGAGUGACAAGCUGUACCGGAGUGUCCUGGUCCAUCAAGUAAGCACCAUGGCCUUGGCUGACGGCCUCUC